UGGGGAAUAUUGCACAAUGGGCGCAAGCCUGAUGCAGCAACGCCGCGUGAACGAUGAAGGUCUUCGGAUCGUAAAGUUCUGUUGCAGGGGAAGAUAAUGACGGUACCCGGUGAGGAAGCCCCGGCUAACUACGUGCCAGCAGCCGCGGUAAUACGUAGGGGGCUAGCGUUAUCCGGAUUUACUGGGCGUAAAGGGUGCGUAGGUGGUCUUUCAAGUCGGUGGUUAAAGGCUACGGCUCAACCGUAGUUAGCCUCCGAAACUGGAAGACUUGAGUGCAGGAGAGGAAAGUGGAAUUCCCAGUGUAGCGGUGAAAUGCGUAGAUAUUGGGAGGAACACCAGUAGCGAAGGCGGCUUUCUGGACUGCAACUGACACUGAGGCACGAAAGCGUGGGUAGCAAACAGG
RNAcentral lists this ribosomal RNA (403 nucleotides) under Verrucomicrobiota bacterium. RNAcentral's name for it is "Verrucomicrobia bacterium partial 16S ribosomal RNA". It matches the Rfam family "Bacterial small subunit ribosomal RNA", at positions 355 to 776 of the family's 1533-position model. The record is from RNAcentral. Lineage: Bacteria; Pseudomonadati; Verrucomicrobiota.